Molecule: ribosomal RNA, 893 nt
Filed under: Bacillus sp. (in: firmicutes)
Lineage: Bacteria; Bacillati; Bacillota; Bacilli; Caryophanales; Bacillaceae
Description: bacterial SSU rRNA
Rfam family: Bacterial small subunit ribosomal RNA
Source: RNAcentral
GCGUGAGUGAUGAAGGUUUUCGGAUCGUAAAGCUCUGUUGUUAGGGAAGAACAAGUACCGUUCGAAUAGGGCGGUACCUUGACGGUACCUAACCAGAAAGCCACGGCUAACUACGUGCCAGCAGCCGCGGUAAUACGUAGGUGGCAAGCGUUGUCCGGAAUUAUUGGGCGUAAAGGGCUCGCAGGCGGUUUCUUAAGUCUGAUGUGAAAGCCCCCGGCUCAACCGGGGAGGGUCAUUGGAAACUGGGGAACUUGAGUGCAGAAGAGGAGAGUGGAAUUCCACGUGUAGCGGUGAAAUGCGUAGAGAUGUGGAGGAACACCAGUGGCGAAGGCGACUCUCUGGUCUGUAACUGACGCUGAGGAGCGAAAGCGUGGGGAGCGAACAGGAUUAGAUACCCUGGUAGUCCACGCCGUAAACGAUGAGUGCUAAGUGUUAGGGGGUUUCCGCCCCUUAGUGCUGCAGCUAACGCAUUAAGCACUCCGCCUGGGGAGUACGGUCGCAAGACUGAAACUCAAAGGAAUUGACGGGGGCCCGCACAAGCGGUGGAGCAUGUGGUUUAAUUCGAAGCAACGCGAAGAACCUUACCAGGUCUUGACAUCCUCUGACAAUCCUAGAGAUAGGACGUCCCCUUCGGGGGCAGAGUGACAGGUGGUGCAUGGUUGUCGUCAGCUCGUGUCGUGAGAUGUUGGGUUAAGUCCCGCAACGAGCGCAACCCUUGAUCUUAGUUGCCAGCAUUCAGUUGGGCACUCUAAGGUGACUGCCGGUGACAAACCGGAGGAAGGUGGGGAUGACGUCAAAUCAUCAUGCCCCUUAUGACCUGGGCUACACACGUGCUACAAUGGACAGAACAAAGGGCAGCGAAACCGCGAGGUUAAGCCAAUCCCACAAAUCUG